Long non-coding RNA from Rhipicephalus sanguineus (brown dog tick), 549 nucleotides. RefSeq lists it as uncharacterized. Lineage: Eukaryota; Metazoa; Arthropoda; Arachnida; Ixodida; Ixodidae. The record is from RefSeq and is a predicted model, not a curated record. The transcript has 3 exons.
ACAGCGGUAAAGAGUCACGUAAAUGAUGCGGAUGUGCCCUGUUAGCACCCGCUACUACUUGCAGUAAGGCACUCUUGAUCAGCUGCUUGUGCAAUGGAAAACAUUACAGAAAUACUCGACGGACUUAAGCUUGGCGUUAGCGGAGAGCAAAAAGCGGUCGAUGCCGAUUUAUGUCUUCGCCUGAAGAGUCUCUUGGCACUCCUCACAGCUGAUGAGCAACCUUCUAACUCGGAACCUAACAGGCAGCAGGUGUGUGAGUGUCUCUUGAAGAGUACGUUUGUCAGCUCCACAAAAGAUCUUCUCAAGUCUUCCUCAGCCAUCACUGAAGAAACUUUGACUCUGCUUGUUCAAGUGAUAGCCGAAGCGGCCAAAUAUGGUUGGUUUGGCUUUCUUAUAUGCUUGAUAUAAAAAGAAUACAGACGGAGUGAUUGACAAAUAAUGCAGUUGUGUUUCACCAAAUAUCUGUCUUCAGAAUUUACAUUUUCAUUUAGGUUUUUUGCCACCUACUGAAUUUCACUGGAUGGGAUGGCGGCUCCUAAUAAAGCACCU